This is a long non-coding RNA of Corvus hawaiiensis (hawaiian crow), 1520 nucleotides long. RefSeq lists it as uncharacterized. The transcript is spliced from 3 exons. NCBI's taxonomy places the organism in Eukaryota, Metazoa, Chordata, Aves, Passeriformes, Corvidae. The record is from RefSeq and is a predicted model, not a curated record.
CAAAACAAAAAUGGUAAGAUGGUGAUAGUGCUGCAUAUACAAUAUCUAACUUUUACCUAGAAGAUACAGCAUUCAUCUCUCAGCCCCCUCAGAGGAAAAGACGCACAUACCAGGAACAUUCACGUAGCACAUGUAUUGUUAUGCAAAAGAAGACAACACAACAUAACACCUUGAACUCAUCAGUCAAAAGAGUUACUAUUCCACCUGAUCUCUGGUGCUGCCAUCCCUAUAUUCCAGCAGCAAUGGAGCAAUACUACCAUCUCCUUCUAUGAAACAAAACUGAAGGCAAUUUUAUUAACUGGAUUGAGAGAUGGAGGAUAUGGGUCCCCAGUGGCAACAAAGAGUCGUCCAUUAAAACUUCUAAGACUUUGAAAGGUGUGGUGGAGAGUGUGCUUACACUUAACAGUGAUGUGGCAUGAAUUCUUAGAAUACUGCACCAUGAGAGUUAUUGGUUUUUGGCCAUUGCUAGAUACACCCUAAAACACUGAGAGAAAUCUGAAUUCCAAUAUUUGCAUGUAAACCAGGCUAUCCAUGUGCAAAUAUGAGUAUUCAUCAUAUAUUAUUAAUUUCUGAUUGCAUUUUGAAAGUUUCAGUCACUCGGUCAGGGAGAAAAUUCAGUCCUCGGCAGCUGAGGUGGCCACUCACCCAGCAUGAGGAAUGAACAGCACGGAGUGAACAGCUGAAGCAAACAGUUCAACAGUUCACUCUCCACAACAAUUCAUACAAAAUUGUUCAUGUAACAAAGCGUGCCAUAAACAAGCUACUUGCACUCUGCAAGUAGCUCUGAUCUUCACACAUGAGGAGCAACAGUCUUUAUGUCAGACCUAAGACAUUGCUAAAUUAUGAAACAGUGGAGAUGAGGAUUUUAAGUCUAUGCACACUAUCACCCUCCAAGAAUUUAACUUCAGAAGCUUCAGAAAGGGAACCGUGGCUGCUGCAUCCGGACUUGAGAGAGGAAAAUGUCAACAUAUGAGCCAAGUCUAUUCUCAAGGAACUUGAUAUCUCUGCAAAGGAACAACAAGCAGUAAGGGUAGCCAGAAAAACUCAUCUCUGGUCAAGUAGAGAAUGAAACCCAAAGAUCAAGAAUCAGAAUCAACAUAAAGUCAGACCUCUGCUCAGAAGGUGUCAGCAGGGAAUAAACCAAAGUUAACAUAUCACAGUAUUACUGAGAUGGCAAAAGAAAUGUCUACAGUCUCAUCCUCACAGCUAUCAUCCUAUGGUACUUCAAGAUGAAAAACUUAAAAUCUUUCUAGGAAAGGUAACAAAAUGAGCAGAAGAAAUAUGUAAUUUGGUGACUUUACUGCUCCUGCAAAAGAACAGUGUCUCAACAAGUUACUGAUGCCUAUUUACUCAUUUAUUUUCCCUUCUCUCCAGCAGAUUUUAGCAGAAAGCUUCUUUUCUAUAUGUUUUCCAGCCCCACCUGCUCCUCUCCGGGAAGGACUGCAUUUCUGAUUGUGUUUCAAGCUUAUACUGAUGUAAAUAUGAUAGUUGUGUUGCUUAAUACCAGCUUUCAGGAUGAA